CAUGUUACAAUAUCUCGAUUUUUGCUUAAUCCAUUUUGCAAUGGAUUAGUCUUUUGCACAUCUUGGCUACUAUGGUUGUCCGCACAUAAAGAUUUGUAAUUGUUUGCUUCCUGAAUUUCAUGUUAUAUGAUAUUGAAACAAAAAGAGUGUAAGGGCUUUUUCCUUUUUGAAGUAAAGUGGGGGAGUUUUAACACAUUUUUUCAAGAAGAAAAACUCUAAACGUUUUGUUUGAGAGGCUACACAUAUGGGUGCUUCGGUUGAAACUUUUUGCGUACACAUUGGACUGGAGUAAUGUAAAUUAAUUCAAUAGCGCACACACUUUUGAGAAAAUUCCUUUUGAUUUAUACAGACCUCUUGCAUGACCCUUACAAGGUAUUACGUCUAAAAAAAAAAAUACAAAAAAGCUUAGUCCACACUUCAAUCCCACCUCAGUUCAAGCUUGAACCAUGAAGAAAGACGAUUUCAUAAUAUUUUUAACACUGACGCUGGUCCCAAAAGUCAGCUCUAAUAUCAUUACAGGGACCACAGUUGGACCAAAUUUCGUCCGUCCCACUGGGAGGUUACUUUACGAUUGCUUUGAGAAAGACAUUGGAUACCCUUCGAACGAUUUAGGACUCAUUUCGAAUGUUACAACGGUCAGGGAGUGUCAAGAUAUUUGUCAAGACACCACAAGAUGUGAAUUUUUCGCCUACGUUCCGGAACAAAUUCCCCGACAUGUCGCUCAACAUAAUUGCUAUCUGAAAUCAAAUAAGACCAUCGUCGUAUUCAAACCGGGAUUACUUUCGGGUCCAAAGUUUUGCUAACAUACAUUGCUGUCAACAAAAUUGGAUGCAUUAAUAAAAAGGAUCUCAUUUUUAAAUGGGCUUUCUAUUUCAA
Tigriopus californicus is the source of this 876-nucleotide long non-coding RNA. RefSeq lists it as uncharacterized. The record is from RefSeq and is a predicted model, not a curated record. NCBI's taxonomy places the organism in Eukaryota, Metazoa, Arthropoda, Copepoda, Harpacticoida, Harpacticidae. The transcript has 2 exons.